RNAcentral lists this ribosomal RNA (484 nucleotides) under uncultured bacterium. RNAcentral describes it as "partial 16S ribosomal RNA". It matches the Rfam family "Bacterial small subunit ribosomal RNA", at positions 27 to 507 of the family's 1533-position model. The record is from RNAcentral.
GGACGAACGCUGGCGGCGUGCUUAACACAUGCAAGUCGAACGCUGAAGCUCAGCUUUUGUUGGGUGGAUGAGUGGCGAACGGGUGAGUAACGCGUGAGUAACCUGCCCCCUUCUUUGGGAUAACGCCCGGAAACGGGUGCUAAUACUGGAUAUUCACUGGUCUUCGCAUGGGGGUUGGUGGAAAGGGUUUUUCUGGUGGGGGAUGGGCUCGCGGCCUAUCAGCUUGUUGGUGGGGUGAUGGCCUACCAAGGCUUUGACGGGUAGCCGGCCUGAGAGGGUGACCGGUCACAUUGGGACUGAGAUACGGCCCAGACUCCUACGGGAGGCAGCAGUGGGGAAUAUUGCACAAUGGGCGCAAGCCUGAUGCAGCGACGCCGCGUGAGGGAUGGAGGCCUUCGGGUUGUGAACCUCUUUCGCUCAUGGUCAAGCCGCAACAAUGGUUGUGGUGAGGGUAGUGGGUAAAGAAGCGCCGGCUAACUACGUG